RNAcentral lists this small RNA (427 nucleotides) under Pongo abelii (Sumatran orangutan). RNAcentral describes it as "retained intron". Lineage: Eukaryota; Metazoa; Chordata; Mammalia; Primates; Hominidae. The record is from RNAcentral.
AGAGCUGUACUUCCUCAUCGCCCGGUACCUAUCGGCGGGCCCGUGUCGGAGAGCGGCCCAGGUGCUGGUGCAGGAGCUGGAGCAGUACCAGUUGUUGCCGAAGAGAUUGGACUGGGAGGGCAACGAGCACAACAGGAGCUACGAGGAGUUGGUGAGCAUUGGGCACGUUUGUUCCCCGGGUUUUCCGUGCACCGCCCCCCGCCCCCCGCCCCUUCCCCUUGCGGGGACCCCGGCCCGUGGGGUGCAAAGUGUGACCCGCACUUGGGGGCGGCCCGGGGAUAGCUGCGUUCCCUGCUGAAGAUGUUUUGUUUUUGAGGCGGCCAGGUUUGUUUUGGCAGGAAACAGUCAUGGGGGGCGGCGCGGGGCGGAGCGGUGGGGGCGACUCGCGGAGGUCCAGCGGGAGGGGUGGGGCUCCAGGUGCCGCCGC